This 709-nucleotide ribosomal RNA is filed under the name uncultured bacterium. Its description in RNAcentral is "bacterial SSU rRNA". It matches the Rfam family "Bacterial small subunit ribosomal RNA", at positions 56 to 769 of the family's 1533-position model. The record is from RNAcentral.
UGCAGUCGACGGUAACAGGUUAAGCUGACGAGUGGCGAACGGGUGAGUAAUAUAUCGGAACGUGCCCAGUUGUGGGGGAUAACUACUCGAAAGAGUAGCUAAUACCGCAUGAGACCUGAGGGUGAAAGCGGGGGAUCGCAAGACCUCGCGCAGUUGGAGCGGCCGAUAUCAGAUUAGCUAGUUGGCGGGGUAAAAGCCCACCAAGGCGACGAUCUGUAGCUGGUCUGAGAGGACGACCAGCCACACUGGGACUGAGACACGGCCCAGACUCCUACGGGAGGCAGCAGUGGGGAAUUUUGGACAAUGGACGCAAGUCUGAUCCAGCCAUGCCGCGUGUGGGAAGAAGGCCUUCGGGUUGUAAACCACUUUUGUCAGGGAAGAAACGGCUCGGGUUAAUACCUUGGGCUAAUGACGGUACCUGAAGAAUAAGCACCGGCUAACUACGUGCCAGCAGCCGCGGUAAUACGUAGGGUGCAAGCGUUAAUCGGAAUUACUGGGCGUAAAGCGUGCGCAGGCGGUUAUGCAAGACAGAUGUGAAAUCCCCGGGCUCAACCUGGGAACUGCAUUUGUGACUGCAUGGCUAGAGUACGGUAGAGGGGGAUGGAAUUCCGCGUGUAGCAGUGAAAUGCGUAGAUAUGCGGAGGAACACCGAUGGCGAAGGCAAUCCCCUGGACCUGUACUGACGCUCAUGCACGAAAGCGUGGGGAGC